UACGUAGGUGGCAAGCGUUGUCCGGAUUUACUGGGCGUAAAGGGAGCGUAGGCGGAUACUUAAGUGGGAUGUGAAAUACCUGGGCUUAACUUGGGUGCUGCAUUCCAAACUGGGUGUCUAGAGUGUUGGAGAGGAAAGUGGAAUUCCUAGUGUAGCGGUGAAAUGCGUAGAGAUUAGGAAGAACACCAGUGGCGAAGGCGACUUUCUGGACAAUAACUGACGCUGAGGCUCGAAAGCGUGGGGAGCAAACAGGAUUAGAUACCCUGGUAGUCCACGCCGUAAACGAGGGGUACUAGGUGUAGGAGGGAUCGACUCCUCCUGUGCCGCCGUUAACACAAUAAGUACCCCGCCUGGGGAGUACGGUCGCAAGAUUAAA
RNAcentral lists this ribosomal RNA (376 nucleotides) under uncultured bacterium. Its description in RNAcentral is "bacterial SSU rRNA". It matches the Rfam family "Bacterial small subunit ribosomal RNA", at positions 524 to 898 of the family's 1533-position model. The record is from RNAcentral.